This 724-nucleotide ribosomal RNA is filed under the name Streptomyces sp. RNAcentral's name for it is "bacterial SSU rRNA". It matches the Rfam family "Bacterial small subunit ribosomal RNA", at positions 87 to 825 of the family's 1533-position model. Lineage: Bacteria; Bacillati; Actinomycetota; Actinomycetes; Kitasatosporales; Streptomycetaceae. The record is from RNAcentral.
GUGGAUUAGUGGCGAACGGGUGAGUAACACGUGGGCAAUCUGCCCUUCACUCUGGGACAAGCCCUGGAAACGGGGUCUAAUACCGGAUAACACUCCUGCCUGCAUGGGCGGGGGUUAAAAGCUCCGGCGGUGAAGGAUGAGCCCGCGGCCUAUCAGCUUGUUGGUGGGGUAAUGGCCUACCAAGGCGACGACGGGUAGCCGGCCUGAGAGGGCGACCGGCCACACUGGGACUGAGACACGGCCCAGACUCCUACGGGAGGCAGCAGUGGGGAAUAUUGCACAAUGGGCGAAAGCCUGAUGCAGCGACGCCGCGUGAGGGAUGACGGCCUUCGGGUUGUAAACCUCUUUCAGCAGGGAAGAAGCGAAAGUGACGGUACCUGCAGAAGAAGCGCCGGCUAACUACGUGCCAGCAGCCGCGGUAAUACGUAGGGCGCAAGCGUUGUCCGGAAUUAUUGGGCGUAAAGAGCUCGUAGGCGGCUUGUCACGUCGGAUGUGAAAGCCCGGGGCUUAACCCCGGGUCUGCAUUCGAUACGGGCUAGCUAGAGUGUGGUAGGGGAGAUCGGAAUUCCUGGUGUAGCGGUGAAAUGCGCAGAUAUCAGGAGGAACACCGGUGGCGAAGGCGGAUCUCUGGGCCAUUACUGACGCUGAGGAGCGAAAGCGUGGGGAGCGAACAGGAUUAGAUACCCUGGUAGUCCACGCCGUAAACGUUGGGAACUAGGUGUUG